This 465-nucleotide ribosomal RNA is filed under the name uncultured bacterium. RNAcentral describes it as "partial 16S ribosomal RNA". It matches the Rfam family "Bacterial small subunit ribosomal RNA", at positions 339 to 795 of the family's 1533-position model. The record is from RNAcentral.
CUACGGGACGCUGCAGUGGGGAAUAUUGCAUAAUGGGCGCAAGCCUGAUGCAGCCAUGCCGCGUGUAUGAAGAAGGCCUUCGGGUUGUAAAGUACUUUCAGCGGGGAGGAAGGGAGUAAAGUUAAUACCUUUGCUCAUUGACGUUACCCGCAGAAGAAGCACCGGCUAACUCCGUGCCAGCAGCGCGCGGUAAUACGGAGGGUGCAAGCGUUAAUCGGAAUUACUGGGCGUAAAGCGCACGCAGGCGGUUUGUUAAGUCAGAUGUGAAAUCCCCGGGCUCAACCUGGGAACUGCAUCUGAUACUGGCAAGCUUGAGUCUCGUAGAGGGGGGUAGAAUUCCAGGUGUAGCGGUGAAAUGCGUAGAGAUCUGGAGGAAUACCGGUGGCGAAGGCGGCCCCCUGGACGAAGACUGACGCUCAGGUGCGAAAGCGUGGGGAGCAAACAGGAUUAGAUACCCCGGUAGUC